AGCAGCCGCGGUAAUUCCAGCUCCAAUAGCGUAUAUUAAAGUUGUUGCAGUUAAAAAGCUCGUAGUUGAAUUUCGGGGUUAGUAGGUUGGUCAUGCCUCUGGUAUGUACUGGUCUCACUGAUUCCUCCUUCCUGAUGAACCUUAAUGCCAUUAAUUUGGUGUUUUGGGGAAUUUGGACUGUUACUUUGAAAAAUUAGAGUGUUUAAAGCAAGCUAACGCUUGAAUACAUUAGCAUGGAAUAAUGAAAUAGGACGUUCGAUCCUAUUUUGUUGGUUUCUAGGAUUGACGUAAUGAUUAAUAGGGAUAGUUGGGGGCAUUAGUAUUCAAUUGUCAGAGGUGAAAUUCUUGGAUUUAUUGAAGACUAACUACUGCGAAAGCAUUUGCCAAGGAUGUUUUCAUUAAUCAAGAACGAAAGUUAGGGGAUCGAAGACGAUCAGAUACCGUCGUAGUCUUAACCAUAAACUAUGCCGACUAGGGAUCGGAUGAUGUUAAUUUUUAAUGACUCA
RNAcentral lists this ribosomal RNA (506 nucleotides) under uncultured Glomus. RNAcentral's name for it is "SSU rRNA". It matches the Rfam family "Eukaryotic small subunit ribosomal RNA", at positions 569 to 1078 of the family's 1831-position model. Lineage: Eukaryota; Fungi; Glomeromycota; Glomeromycetes; Glomerales; Glomeraceae. The record is from RNAcentral.